CUGUAAAUAAAAACCGACAUCCUACACAUGUCAACUAAAUACUGACGUAUGCAUCUUUGACGACAAAUCUGUGGCGCCGUAUUAAAACUUAAACCUGGGUCCCGGUGAGCUCGUGGAAAUAGCGAGUCUCAGUAACAGUCACGAUUACUUGGACAUUUUACAAAAUGUCAUGUUGCCGACUGUGCGGGUUGCUUAUCCGCACGAACAUAUUUAUUUCGUGCAGGAUAAUAGCGCACGGAUCGUGCAAAACUGGUUCCAAAACCAAGUAAACAUGACUGUUAUUUAUUGGCCAGCAAAAAGACCCGAUUUAAACCCCAUAGAAAAUCUGUGGGGUCAUAUGGUGCUAAACUGGGACUCAUCGGAAAUUAAAUCUAAAGCCAAUUUAGACGACGUAGUAAUGUCGACCUGGGAGUCAUUACGCGGUAGCAACAUUUGCACGAACAUGGUGCAAAGCAUGAGCAGAAGCUUGCAAGAGGUAAUAGACCGAGAGGGUUUACCCACUCACUACUAAACUUAAUUCAGAUUUAGGCAGGCUCAGUAACUGAUUCAGAAAUCGAAACAAGUCAGCGCUGACCCAAAACAUUCGUGUAGGAAUUUAAUGCUAGCAGCAUGAAGUUCAAAUUUAUUUGUAUUGUAUUGUCAGCGCUGACUUAUAUCGAUUUCUGAAUCAGUUACUGAGCCAAAUUAUAUACAGUCCAAAUUGACUACAAUGUUAAUAUUUUUAAAAUAAUAUUAAAAUGCAGUCUAGACAAAACCUGUGAUAAAACGGUGAAGUGAUUAUAUUGUUAUGCGGUUAGAAAUUGUCAUAAUUUCUUUCUAUUUAAGUGACUAUAGACAUCACUUGGGAUAGUGACUCAUGUCAUUCCAUAAAAAAAACUUUGUUGUAGUAAUAAAAUCAACAAAUUCAUAACAAAAACUAACAGAUUAGUCAAAAGACAAAAGUUUUUUUUUAUAAAAAAAUUAAAUUAAACAAAGAGAGAUUCCGGAUUCCUAGCUAACUUAAUAUUUACUAUUCUAAAUUAAAUCAAAAGAAUAGGAUAAAUGAAACUGACACCCAGAACCUACAAUCAGAACUAGACCACUUGACAGCAAAGUUGCAGUUGUAGAAUACAUGAAAACCAACGGACCUGAGUAGGUAUUGUAGGUAUUUCAUUACCAGUAAAUUUUAUUUGAAAAUAACAGCACAUCAAGGUGAUAUCAAAGUAAUUCGUACUAAGUCAUAGUGUACACGAAAUAUCUUUGAUGUAGAAAUGAACAUAAAGAAAGGACAAAGUGCUACUGGCUCAGGGCACGGGGAGGUCCACUUACAGUUGUCAUAGGCUAAAAUACGUAGCAGUGUGAAGUACAAUGUGUUUUAUUUGAUUGCAAAAGACAUGGUUGACAGAUACAACCACCUAUUGAUAUAUAGACACGGACAAGAAUAGUCACAUACAGCACGUCAAGACGUUCGACCAAAAUGGGAAAAAACACUCCAUUACUAUCCAUUAAAUAUCAGUGAAUAAUGACGACGAAUAGUAAGGAGCAAACUCUAUCCAGCGACAAGAGAAACAGUUUCUCAAACCUUGAUCACUCAAUGUACACACUACCGACACUCAAACUGUGGGAACAACUGGUCAGUGCUUACAGAGUUGUGCUUCGAGUCACAGCAGAUAAAGGUCGCGAAGAAAAGUAGGCGACAUACAUAAACAACGUGUGGCGAAGUAACAAUGACUAUAAGACCGAAUUAAGACGAUGAUACACAGAUGUCAUGUUCAGACAAUACUUUGUUUAAUAUCGCCAACUAACAUAAUAAAGACAUCAGAAAUGCUGUAAAAAGCUAGAGAGAUUUAUGAGAAAAUUAACGGACCUGAGUAGCAGAGAGAUAGAUAGAUUCUACAACGAGCCUUACUUGUUCUACAGGGCAUCAAUAUAAGAAUAGAAGUCAAGGAAACACUUGAAGCCGCGUGCCUCACUACAACUGCGAGUAUAGAUAGUAAAAGCUAUCAACUCACACAUGAGAGUCCACACUCGACAACUGACGACUAUGGUGGACAUCAUGACACGAACACGUGCCACUAACAUUGAUGAACAAAAAGAUGACUAACGAACAGCACAUCAAGGUGAUAUAUAAGUAAUUCGUACUAAGUCAUAGUGUACACGAAAUAUCUUUGAUGUAGAAAUGAACAUAAAGAAAGAGUCUGUAACUUCCAAUCCACAUUUCACAAUUUCUGUGGAAGUUCCUUAUUGUACGAAUGGAAUUACUGACUCGCACCAUUUUGUUAAACGUACACAAACAGUUGUGAAGAUAAUGGCCAAUCUAAAGGCUAGGGGGAAUAGUUAUUGCUAAAAUGCACGACAAAGAUCAAAUAACACACUCAAAUAUAAAACAAUAUAAGAAAGUAAAGGCAUAAUGUAAGGGACAUAAAGAUGUUUAUAUUAUUAUGAAACAAAAAGUGUCUUGCGCUGGACCUGAGAAGAAUCCAGCAAACAGAUAAAAAAUGUACAUCAGUGAGUUCCAGAACUAAGACAUAUAAGGGAUCUACAACAGAUCAUGUCAUUAGAAAAUAAAGAUUACUAACUUAUGAUCCGAAGCGACGGACCUGAGGACGUAUCACGACACUGAAGACGCUUUGGGUGACAGUUUCAUGACGAGUCAACCAUGUCAAGGUCCAAACAUGUUGACUGAGGACACACAAAUGUGGGAAUGAGAGCCCACACUCGACAACUGACGACUAUGGUGGACAUCAUGACAUGAACACGUGCCACUCUGACGAUAGCUACAAAAAACUAAACGCAACUACAAAAUCAGUUCUACGAACAGCACAUCAAGGUGAUAUAUCAGUAAUUCGUACUAAGUCAUAGUGUACACGAAAUAUCUUUGAUGUAGAAAUGAACAUAAAGAAAGAGUCUGUAACUUCCAAUCCACAUUUAAUAACAGAUACAGACCACAUAGCAUGUCGACGUUUAUGAUAAAUACUGGCUAUUGGCAAUCUUCUGGUACAAUAGUACUGUCGACACUAGACCGGCGAUCAAAUAUAGGGAUAUAAAGAUGUUUAUAUUAUUAUGAAAAAAAAAAAAUGUCUUGAAGAAUUCAGCAAACAGAUAAACAAUCUGUAAGUACGUAUUACGACGCUGCUGGAGGCGUAAUGGGUUAUAUGUUGGCUCAACCAAGACGGUGGAAUGGAGAUGACGACAUAGCACUGCUACAAACGACUAAUGUCGAUGCCAGAAUAUUAAACCAAGGUGUGGAAUCUGUUCAAUGUUGUACAGCAUGUCAAGGUUCACUAACGACGAAAUCAAAUACAGAAGGUCAGUAAGUUCCAGGAGUAAGUUGGAAAUAUAAACGAACCCCUACAGAUGGUCAUUAACAAGCCAGAAGGGCUUGAAACAU
Spodoptera frugiperda (fall armyworm) is the source of this 3370-nucleotide long non-coding RNA. RefSeq lists it as uncharacterized. The record is from RefSeq and is a predicted model, not a curated record. Lineage: Eukaryota; Metazoa; Arthropoda; Insecta; Lepidoptera; Noctuidae. The transcript has 3 exons.